Phragmites australis (common reed) is the source of this 1738-nucleotide RNA transcript. RefSeq lists it as uncharacterized. The record is from RefSeq and is a predicted model, not a curated record. Lineage: Eukaryota; Viridiplantae; Streptophyta; Magnoliopsida; Poales; Poaceae. The transcript is spliced from 13 exons.
GGGCCUGUGGAGGAGGGGAACAGGACAAAUUCUCCCGUAGCAGCUCGCGAGUCGCAACCGCGUCCACCGGGCGAACAACACCGGAUCGUGAUGGAGAGCUGGGUCCGCGCGGUGGUGGAGGCCAUCCAUUCCUCUCGCUCCCAGGCCGUCAUCUACCUCGCCGGCGGCGCCUCGCAGGCGCUCGGCUGGCUGCUGUCCGUGCCCGGCGCGUCCGGCACCGUCCUCGAGGUCGUCGUGCCCUACUCCAGGGCCUCCAUGGCGCAGCUCCUCGGCAAGAUGCCCUUGCAAUUCACCAGCAAGCAGGCCGCAGAGGACAUGGCACUGGCCGCGUACAACCGUGCCCUCAAGCUUUCUGGACCAGGUCUUCAAGUGUUGGGCGUUGGCUUUACUGGGUCACUGGCUAGCUCACGUCCAAAACAUGGUGAUCACAGGUUCUAUGUGUCAACGCGGACACACAGUUGCCUCAGGACAUCACAUGUUACUUUGUCAAAGGGUUUUCGGAGCAGAGAGGAAGAAGACACAGUUUCGAGCUAUUUUUUGCUAAAGGCAAUAGCAGAUACCUGCAGAGUAUCUGCAACCAUUCAGUCAGACAUUCAAGAACCUGAAAUUCCAGAAGAAAGCAUUGAACAAUUCGAUGAAGAUCAAGAACUCCAGCAAGUUAUUAAUGGGCAAGUUUGCAUGAAAGUCUAUCACUUUGCUGAUCCGGUGGAAAAGAAUUUCAACAGAAAAAUAAUUCUACCUGGUUCAUUCAAUCCCUUGCAUGAUGGCCACCUUAGGCUGUUGGAAGUUGCAUCAAGCAUGUGUGAUGAUGGGAUUCCAUUCUUUGAGAUAUCAGCAAUUAAUGCCGACAAACCUCCACUAUCUAUUGCAGAAAUUAAGAAACGGGUUGAGCAAUUUAGAAACGCAGGGAAGAAUGUGAUCAUAUCUAACCAACCGUACUUCUACAAGAAAGCGGAACUUUUCCCAGGCAGUGCUUUUAUAAUUGGUGCAGACACUGCAGCUAGGCUUGUUAAUCCUAAGUAUUAUGGAGGAGAUUACAAUAGAAUGCUGGAGAUACUUCUCGAAUGUAAAAGCACAGGUACCACUUUUCUUGUUGGUGGCCGAAAGAUUGAAGGAGUUUUCAUGGUCCUCGAAGAUUUAGACAUUCCAGGAGAGCUGAGAGACAUGUUUAUCUCCAUACCAGAGGAAACGUUUCGCAUGGAUAUUUCAUCUACUGAAAUAAGAAAAAGCCAAGGUCUCUGAUGUAUCAAACGCAUGGUCAUAUUCUACAGCAGAUUCUUUAUAAAUAUAGAAGGUACAUUUGGAUGCUAGCAGUCGGGUCUGAAUUCUCAAGGCUCAAUUGGAGUUACUUCUUCUCUUAUCUGGGAGCAUCCUUUUGCCAAUUAUAAUAAGCCCAUUUUCCUUGAAAUCUAAUCAGAUGACAAGUCAUUCCCUUUCAAGGGAAUUAUUGAUGUAUGCUGACAUCUUCAUGGACUAUAUUUUAUUUAACUUUUGACUUUACAGGGCCUUUUGGUAUUUUGUUGAGCAAAUUGGAAUCGAUCUUCUUGUAGAACUUCUUGAUGUCUUCGCUACCCUUCGCAGCUAGAUGGUCCACCUCUGUCUCAUAUCUUUGGUACAAUGCUGGCAAAGUGUGGGCGCACAAAAAUCCUGUGGAAGUAAGAAAUGUAGACUUGUUAAAUGUAUUAGUGACAGUUGGUUUAGAUGAUUUUAUCAGAGUGAAUUGAUAAUGUUCCUCGUA